UGUUCCAGAAAACGUAAGCUAAACGUUAACUAACGACCUCGCAAACCUAAUUACACCGAAUGUCUUGUGCUUUGUUUGGCAUGAAAAAUAUAGGGUAACUUAACGUUAAUAAUAACGUUAGCUAACACAGACAUGUUAUCCACAACGUUUAACAUUUAAAAGUUUACAUAGUCGUAGCUAACGUUAGCAUGGCUUAUCAGCAUAUUAGCAUCGCUUACUAGCACGUUAGCUAACGUUAAAUAGGUCACCCCAGGUUUGUUGACCAAGUUUAGCUGAAUAUGUGGAUGUAAAAUCAUAAACACCUUUCAAGAAAUAGUUUUCUAUAUUUAUGAUGAUACGAUAUCAGUUUAGUAGCAUCGUGGACGAGGUGGCCGAGUGGUUAAGGCGAUGGACUGCUAAUCCAUUGUGCUCUGCACGCGUGGGUUCGAAUCCCAUCCUCGUCGGCAGUUUUUAAUGCUUUUAUUUUUCAAUAAUCAACCAUUUGAUAUACGUGGUGAGUGAUUCACGUGGUUGUGUAUAUUUUAUUUAUCACUAUAUUUUGUGGUCCCCUUUGAUACAAAGCAAACAGCAGCAUAGCAUUUCUCUUUGGCAGACCAGCUGCUUAUGCAUCCAUAAUCAAUUUAUGUAUCGAUUUAUAUAGAUUACAUAAAGAAAAUUGCAAUCUCAAUCUUGCACCCUCCUUUACAGUCACACCCUGAAAUCUUUAAGACUGUCUUGUAUGUUUUUUGUAAAAUUACCAUAUUACAAACAGCCCCAACAUACUUUAAGCAAGCAUUAUGAUAUUAUUUUUUGUAUACCGUACACUUUAAACAAAGGCUUUCACAUCAUGGUCUUCUUUUAGUUUUAUUUCCAAAUAAUCCUAAUCUGCUUGAUAGCCUCUGUUGUGACAGCCUUCAGAAUAUAUGUCCAUGUGAUUCUCAGCAGAGCUCUCCUGGGAAUCGGAGGGACAUCGGACGUCUCCUAUUGCUCCAUAACGACUCCUGUCCAGGCUUGAAGAGAUGUGCAUCUCCUCUGCCUGUUCUUUCAUGACAUUGUCUGUGGCUUUGCUGCUUGUUGUCUGUUCUGUGAAGGGAGGUCUGUUUGAUGGCUGCUCUUCUUCCUCCUCACUGUCUUCUUCCUCCAGAGUUUCACCACUGGAGAAGUGGAUGAUCCUCCUCGGUUUGGUCAUGGCAGGAUCCCCAGAGUCGGUUUCCUGGAUGCCUAGUGAUGUCUACCAGAUAGGACAGGAAUAUACAUCAACUUUUUGUUUGCAUUCUCAUGAACGCAUUGUCCUUGUGGCUCAUUAUCUGCGUCCAUCAUGUUGUAAUUUUAUAGGCCUUUUAUACACAGACUGCAUCGGGCUCCAGAGUGAAGAUUCACCAAUGUCUGGUCACAACUUUCAAACAGCUGUUGAAAGUUAACUUACACCUUUGCUAGAGAGUUACUGAACACAACCUGAGCUAAUAUGUCUGUUUGUCUUGCUUCAUUGUCUUGCUUCACUUACUUCCUGGUAGCUGUUGUUCAUUCUUCAGGUACUGCAAGUCUUUCUUUAUCGCUCCAGUGCAGCACUGUUGACUUUUUCUCAGGCCACGGCUCUACUGUAUGUCCAUCCACGCUGACUCUCCUGUGUGGAGCAAAAAAACUACAGGACACAGGAUCAGUCUUGAAACCUGAGACGCCAGAUAGAGCAGAACAAACCUUAUCACAGGCAAGUAGUUAGACAGCUGCCACUGUAACGCAAUCAGUGUCAGUCUUGGGCUUGAGGGGCUGGGCUUGCGGUGUUGUGUGUAGAAUGUCACUUGAUUGACAGAACAUUGUUUAAUUAACUCAUUGGUAAAGUGUUUUAGUGUAUACUAAGUGCUACAUGUACAAGGGGCAGAAUGUAGUACAUAUUGUAUAGAUUUAGAACAUAUUUGGGACACGCUGCAUGUUUUUGAAACGCAGGCUCACUGUCUCCAAACUCGAACCAAGAUAACCCUGAUCACCAGGGUUAUUUUCUUAGGCUUGACAGAGCUCUGUCAGAGUAGUACUAACCAGUAAAUCUGAACUUUGUUUAGUAAAAUAGGUGGCGUUAACAUAAUAAUUACAACUUUAUGUGUAUAGCACUUACCUAAACAAGGUUACAAAGAUGAUUGGAUGAUGCUUACUGUAAUUUAAUAAUUGUAAUGACAUAUGUAAGCACAAGAAGAAUGGAGUUUUAUGGAUGAUUUAAUAGCGUUUGAAGUACAUUUUACAUGAAAGACACCAUCAGAGGAGGAAUAAUGAGCUACAGGAGUUUACACUGCCGUGGUGAUCUGACACACCCUUUUAAUAAACAGUUGCCUUGAAGACCAUAAAA
Micropterus dolomieu (smallmouth bass) is the source of this 2317-nucleotide long non-coding RNA. RefSeq lists it as uncharacterized. Lineage: Eukaryota; Metazoa; Chordata; Actinopteri; Centrarchiformes; Centrarchidae. The transcript has 2 exons. The record is from RefSeq and is a predicted model, not a curated record.